UGACCUUGACCUCAUUUUCAGGGUUCAGUGGUCAAAGUUAAGUUUUUGAGUUUUGGUCUUUUUUUCUAAUACUGUAUGCAAUAGGUCUACUAUAUUUGGUAUAUGGAAUGAUUGUAAGGUGUACAUGUCUAGCUGGCAGGUGUCAUCUGACCUUGACCUCAUUUUCAUGGUUCAGUGGUCAAAGUUAAGUUUUUGAGUUUUGGUCUUUUUUUCUAAUACUGUAUGCAAUAGGUCUACUAUAUUUGGUAUAUGGAAUGAUUGUAAGGUGUACAUGUCUAGCUGGCAGGUGUCAUCUGACCUUGACCUCAUUUUCAUGGUUCAGUGGUUAUAGUUAAGUUUUUGUGUUUUGGUCUGUUUUUCUUAUACUGUAUGCAAUAGGUCUACUAUAUUUGGUGUAUGGAAUGAUUGUAAGGUGUACAUUUCCAAC
Mytilus californianus (California mussel) is the source of this 427-nucleotide long non-coding RNA. RefSeq lists it as uncharacterized. Lineage: Eukaryota; Metazoa; Mollusca; Bivalvia; Mytilida; Mytilidae. The transcript is spliced from 3 exons. The record is from RefSeq and is a predicted model, not a curated record.